UUAAGCGACUAAGCGUACACGGUGGAUGCCCUGGCAGUCAGAGGCGAUGAAGGACGUGCUAAUCUGCGAUAAGCGUCGGUAAGGUGAUAUGAACCGUUAUAACCGGCGAUUUCCGAAUGGGGAAACCCAGUGUGUUUCGACACACUAUCAUUAACUGAAUCCAUAGGUUAAUGAGGCGAACCGGGGGAACUGAAACAUCUAAGUACCCCGAGGAAAAGAAAUCAACCGAGAUUCCCCCAGUAGCGGCGAGCGAACGGGGAGCAGCCCAGAGCCUGAAUCAGUGUGUGUGUUAGUGGAAGCGUCUGGAAAGGCGCGCGAUACAGGGUGACAGCCCCGUACACAAAAAUGCACAUGCUGUGAGCUCGAUGAGUAGGGCGGGACACGUGGUAUCCUGUCUGAAUAUGGGGGGACCAUCCUCCAAGGCUAAAUACUCCUGACUGACCGAUAGUGAACCAGUACCGUGAGGGAAAGGCGAAAAGAACCCCGGCGAGGGGAGUGAAAAAGAACCUGAAACCGUGUACGUACAAGCAGUGGGAGCACGCUUAGGCGUGUGACUGCGUACCUUUUGUAUAAUGGGUCAGCGACUUAUAUUCUGUAGCAAGGUUAACCGAAUAGGGGAGCCGAAGGGAAACCGAGUCUUAACUGGGCGUUAAGUUGCAGGGUAUAGACCCGAAACCCGGUGAUCUAGCCAUGGGCAGGUUGAAGGUUGGGUAACACUAACUGGAGGACCGAACCGACUAAUGUUGAAAAAUUAGCGGAUGACUUGUGGCUGGGGGUGAAAGGCCAAUCAAACCGGGAGAUAGCUGGUUCUCCCCGAAAGCUAUUUAGGUAGCGCCUCGUGAAUUCAUCUCCGGGGGUAGAGCACUGUUUCGGCAAGGGGGUCAUCCCGACUUACCAACCCGAUGCAAACUGCGAAUACCGGAGAAUGUUAUCACGGGAGACACACGGCGGGUGCUAACGUCCGUCGUGAAGAGGGAAACAACCCAGACCGCCAGCUAAGGUCCCAAAGUCAUGGUUAAGUGGGAAACGAUGUGGGAAGGCCCAGACAGCCAGGAUGUUGGCUUAGAAGCAGCCAUCAUUUAAAGAAAGCGUAAUAGCUCACUGGUCGAGUCGGCCUGCGCGGAAGAUGUAACGGGGCUAAACCAUGCACCGAAGCUGCGGCAGCGACGCUUAUGCGUUGUUGGGUAGGGGAGCGUUCUGUAAGCCUGUGAAGGUGUGCUGUGAGGCAUGCUGGAGGUAUCAGAAGUGCGAAUGCUGACAUAAGUAACGAUAAAGCGGGUGAAAAGCCCGCUCGCCGGAAGACCAAGGGUUCCUGUCCAACGUUAAUCGGGGCAGGGUGAGUCGACCCCUAAGGCGAGGCCGAAAGGCGUAGUCGAUGGGAAACAGGUUAAUAUUCCUGUACUUGGUGUUACUGCGAAGGGGGGACGGAGAAGGCUAUGUUGGCCGGGCGACGGUUGUCCCGGUUUAAGCGUGUAGGCUGGUUUUCCAGGCAAAUCCGGAAAAUCAAGGCUGAGGCGUGAUGACGAGGCACUACGGUGCUGAAGCAACAAAUGCCCUGCUUCCAGGAAAAGCCUCUAAGCAUCAGGUAACAUCAAAUCGUACCCCAAACCGACACAGGUGGUCAGGUAGAGAAUACCAAGGCGCUUGAGAGAACUCGGGUGAAGGAACUAGGCAAAAUGGUGCCGUAACUUCGGGAGAAGGCACGCUGAUAUGUAGGUGAAGUCCCUCGCGGAUGGAGCUGAAAUCAGUCGAAGAUACCAGCUGGCUGCAACUGUUUAUUAAAAACACAGCACUGUGCAAACACGAAAGUGGACGUAUACGGUGUGACGCCUGCCCGGUGCCGGAAGGUUAAUUGAUGGGGUUAGCGCAAGCGAAGCUCUUGAUCGAAGCCCCGGUAAACGGCGGCCGUAACUAUAACGGUCCUAAGGUAGCGAAAUUCCUUGUCGGGUAAGUUCCGACCUGCACGAAUGGCGUAAUGAUGGCCAGGCUGUCUCCACCCGAGACUCAGUGAAAUUGAACUCGCUGUGAAGAUGCAGUGUACCCGCGGCAAGACGGAAAGACCCCGUGAACCUUUACUAUAGCUUGACACUGAACAUUGAGCCUUGAUGUGUAGGAUAGGUGGGAGGCUUUGAAGUGUGGACGCCAGUCUGCAUGGAGCCGACCUUGAAAUACCACCCUUUAAUGUUUGAUGUUCUAACGUUGACCCGUAAUCCGGGUUGCGGACAGUGUCUGGUGGGUAGUUUGACUGGGGCGGUCUCCUCCUAAAGAGUAACGGAGGAGCACGAAGGUUGGCUAAUCCUGGUCGGACAUCAGGAGGUUAGUGCAAUGGCAUAAGCCAGCUUGACUGCGAGCGUGACGGCGCGAGCAGGUGCGAAAGCAGGUCAUAGUGAUCCGGUGGUUCUGAAUGGAAGGGCCAUCGCUCAACGGAUAAAAGGUACUCCGGGGAUAACAGGCUGAUACCGCCCAAGAGUUCAUAUCGACGGCGGUGUUUGGCACCUCGAUGUCGGCUCAUCACAUCCUGGGGCUGAAGUAGGUCCCAAGGGUAUGGCUGUUCGCCAUUUAAAGUGGUACGCGAGCUGGGUUUAGAACGUCGUGAGACAGUUCGGUCCCUAUCUGCCGUGGGCGCUGGAGAACUGAGGGGGGCUGCUCCUAGUACGAGAGGACCGGAGUGGACGCAUCACUGGUGUUCGGGUUGUCAUGCCAAUGGCACUGCCCGGUAGCUAAAUGCGGAAGAGAUAAGUGCUGAAAGCAUCUAAGCACGAAACUUGCCCCGAGAUGAGUUCUCCCUGACCCUUUAAGGGUCCUGAAGGAACGUUGAAGACGACGACGUUGAUAGGCCGGGUGUGUAAGCGCAGCGAUGCGUUGAGCUAACCGGUACUAAUGAACCGUGAGGCUUAACCUU
RNAcentral lists this ribosomal RNA (2902 nucleotides) under human gut metagenome. RNAcentral describes it as "bacterial LSU rRNA". It matches the Rfam family "Bacterial large subunit ribosomal RNA". The record is from RNAcentral.